AGUUUUGCUGACGCCACAUGGUCCCCUUUGCCCAUGGUAAUUACCACUGACAUACCGCGAUACAAAGUCAAAAACGUGUCCGUCACCCUCCCGAUUUUUGACUGAUAUCAGUUUUUGAAUAUUUUUUUAUUCAUCUUUCCCGCCUCACUCUAAAUUAAAAAAUGCCGAAGUUUUGCUGCGUUAUUGGUUGUCAUAAUUCCUUCUCGAAGGAGAAUAUUACCUCCCACCGUUUUCCUGAUGCUGAGAAGAGUCCUGAGUUACAUGCCUUAUGGAUGGAGAAUAUAAACAAGAAUGUUCCAGUUGAGUUUACUCCAAUUAAGGGAAGUCGUGUGUGUUCUGAACAUUUUAGUGUGGACAUGAUGCAAAAAGUUGGGCAAAGGACAAUGCUGUUGCCAUAUGCUAUCCCAACAAUAUUUGAAAAGUCUCAGGUAAUUUCACAAAAUGUGGAACAUGUAGAGGUUGCAUCAAAAGAUAUUGCAAUUUGGAUGACUGGUAGAGAUUGUGUAAGUACGCAAAA
Molecule: long non-coding RNA, 517 nt
Organism: Dendronephthya gigantea
Lineage: Eukaryota; Metazoa; Cnidaria; Anthozoa; Malacalcyonacea; Nephtheidae
Exons: 3
Source: RefSeq, a predicted model, not a curated record